Molecule: unclassified non-coding RNA, 235 nt
Filed under: plant metagenome
Description: partial contains small subunit ribosomal RNA, internal transcribed spacer 1, and 5.8S ribosomal RNA
Source: RNAcentral
UUUCCGUAGGUGAACCUGCGGAAGGAUCAUUACUGAGUGAGGGCCCCUCGGGGUCCAACCUCCCACCCGUGUUUAACGAACCUUGUUGCUUCGGCGGGCCCGCCUCACGGCCGCCGGGGGGCAUCUGCCCCCGGGCCCGCGCCCGCCGAAGCCACCUUUGAACGCUGUCUGAAGUAUGCAGUCUGAGACAAUUAUUAAAUAAUCAAAACUUUCAACAACGGAUCUCUUGGUUCUC